UUCUGUUCUCAAUAUAUUAUUAAUUUCUAGGGGAGGCUAGAGAUAGCAAGCCGGUAAUUAGUAAUAGGCUCUUUUCGCCGAGGGAUCGGGUUAAGGGUAGGCCAAGAAAGUUUGCAUAACAAUUAGAUAAUCAAGCACAUUAAACAAGAGGAGUAGAUAAGAGGGAGCGAAUAAGAUGAAAUUGUCAACCCCCAACAACUCCAUUUAUCCAUAGUGUUUUUCGUCAAUUGAAUCAACCACAUUGCAUGUUUAUUUUUUGUCUUUGCAUUCACCACAAAUGAUUCUUUCUUUACAAGUCUUACGAUUUUGAUUCACACGAACGAUAAACGCCUUGUGAGUCUCUUGGGAAGAACGAUAUCAGGGACUACCGAUUAUAUUACUUGCACGAUCUGGUAUACUUGCCAGUGAGUCAAC
This 414-nucleotide long non-coding RNA is filed under the name Vigna radiata. Its description in RNAcentral is "long non-coding RNA (VRAD_LNC012531)". Lineage: Eukaryota; Viridiplantae; Streptophyta; Magnoliopsida; Fabales; Fabaceae. The record is from RNAcentral.